RNAcentral lists this transfer RNA (90 nucleotides) under Parcubacteria group bacterium. Its description in RNAcentral is "tRNA-Ser". It matches the Rfam family "tRNA". From Rfam's summary of the family: Transfer RNA (tRNA) molecules are approximately 80 nucleotides in length. Their secondary structure includes four short double-helical elements and three loops (D, anti-codon, and T loops). The record is from RNAcentral. RNAcentral also lists the same sequence under 1 other name.
GGAGAGGUGCCUGAGUGGUUGAAAGGGAUAGUCUUGAAAACUAUUAAGGGGUAAUUCCCUUCGUGGGUUCGAAUCCCACCCUCUCCGCCA